RNAcentral lists this transfer RNA (731 nucleotides) under uncultured cyanobacterium. RNAcentral describes it as "partial 16S-23S ribosomal RNA intergenic spacer". The stretch from base 258 to 330 matches the Rfam family "tRNA". Lineage: Bacteria; Bacillati; Cyanobacteriota. The record is from RNAcentral.
CAGGGAGACAAACAUUGAUCAUGAUGUCUAAGAUAUUUUUCCUUAGGCCAUGAUCCUGUCACCUUAGGUCGAUCGGUACCUCAGAUUUAAGAACCAGAUGAAAAUAAUUUUUUAUCUGGUAAUUGAUUUUCAGUUCCUAAACUUGUCUAGGUCACACCCAACAAGGGUACUCCUGGGCCAUUAGCUCAGGUGGUUAGAGCGCACCCCUGAUAAGGGUGAGGUCCCUGGUUCAAGUCCAGGAUGGCCCAUUCGGUGUUGGGGGUAUAGCUCAGUUGGUAGAGCGCCUGCUUUGCAAGCAGGAUGUCAGCGGUUCGAGUCCGCUUACCUCCACUGGUCGACUCUCUGACAACCAAAUUAAGGAGCUAUUCUUUGAUAGUGGUGACUUAGACUUUUGUUUUAACUGAAUGAACCUAGCUUCCUAUCAUUCCUAUAUUUAUAUAUAACUUAGGUUGAUAAGAUGCUGGGCUCACUACAAUUCGAGAGAAUUGUAGUUGAUGUUCAGUAGAACCUUGACGACUGCAUAGGUGAGUCUGGAAAGAAUAAAGCAUCUCAUGGAUACAUUAUUCUUUUUUGAAAUUUAUUUUCUGCGUAAGUAGUAAUCUAAGUUUCUAACUUAAUAAUGUUCAAUUCUUGAGCAAGAGCCGAGACUCUAUGGCUAUUUUGAUGUUAUUAACUCAUCAAAGAUAUACAAGUAUUUGUUUGAAUAUUUGUAUUGCCAUAGAGAUUUAUAU